RNAcentral lists this ribosomal RNA (97 nucleotides) under uncultured marine bacterium. RNAcentral describes it as "partial small subunit ribosomal RNA". It matches the Rfam family "Bacterial small subunit ribosomal RNA", at positions 958 to 1054 of the family's 1533-position model. The record is from RNAcentral.
AACGCGCAAAACCUUACCAGGGUUUGACAUGGUGUUAAUUCUUUGAAAAAAGAAGUACCGUUCGCGGUAGACACACACAGGUGUUGCAUGGCUGUCG